UACGUAGGUGGCAAGCGUUAUCCGGAUUUAUUGGGCGUAAAGCGAGCGCAGGCGGUUUUUUAAGUCUGAUGUGAAAGCCUUCGGCUUAACCGAAGAAGUGCAUCGGAAACUGGAAAACUUGAGUGCAGAAGAGGACAGUGGAACUCCAUGUGUAGCGGUGAAAUGCGUAGAUAUAUGGAAGAACACCAGUGGCGAAGGCGGCUGUCUGGUCUGUAACUGACGCUGAGGCGCGAAAGCGUGGGGAGCAAACAGG
This 253-nucleotide ribosomal RNA is filed under the name uncultured bacterium. Its description in RNAcentral is "partial 16S ribosomal RNA". It matches the Rfam family "Bacterial small subunit ribosomal RNA", at positions 524 to 776 of the family's 1533-position model. The record is from RNAcentral.